Molecule: small RNA, 171 nt
Filed under: uncultured Enterococcus sp.
Lineage: Bacteria; Bacillati; Bacillota; Bacilli; Lactobacillales; Enterococcaceae
Description: Listeria sRNA rli28
Rfam family: Listeria sRNA rli28
Source: RNAcentral
UUUCUAUGAUAUAAUACUGGAGCAGGCAAGUUUUAAGGACGGUGGCCGAUUCCUGACUGGAGGUGGUUCAUAUGGACUUCACCAUUAUGAAAGGAUUAUCGGCACAUGAGCGCUUACCAAGCACUUAUGUUAAUGUUGGCGUUUGCGACAUUUAUCAUUGCAUUGCUGACU